GUCAGCCAUGGAGUGAAAUUUCAACAAUUGGAAAGUUGCCCAAUCUUGAAGUGCUUAAAUUACUUGAGGACUGCUUUGUUGGGGAAGAAUGGGUAAUGAAAGAAGGGGAGUUCCCUAAACUCCGAGUCUUAAAAUUGUCAGAAUUGGAAUUUCGCAACUGGACUGCAUUUUCUGAUAAUUUUUCCCACCUUGAGAAAUUGGUCUUGCACUCGUGUGAGGAGCUGGAAAAGGUCCCUUCCUGUUUAGGGGAGUGUGAGACUCUUGAAAUGAUUCAGGUGAAAGGGUGUCGUGAGUCUGUUGUAGAUUCUGUAAAGCAAAUUCAACAAGAGCAGAUAGAUAUGGGAAAUGAGGUUCUAAAGAUCGAAAUUGAUAAGUAUGAUACAUCCAUUUCCUCAGAAGAAUAAUCUACAGAAGCAGAGUCAACUCCCUCAGAAGCAGAGGAGAUUUCUUCAGAAAGAGAAUCUAUAUCCUCUCAUCAGUCAUCACGCAGUUGACAAUUGUGAGAGUGAAUGUACAGUAGGAUUCCACUCAUCAGAGUAGAUUUCCUCAGCCGGAGAGUCCAUUUCUUCUCAUCAUCACAUUAGGCAAUGGUACAGACUGAAGCAUUUAUGUCUCUUCUUGACUUUGUGUGAUCAUUCCACUCAUCAGGGGCAAGCACAGUCAUGCAUUCUAUCAAGCCAAUAUUAUCCAUCAUAAUCUGUUUGUAAAACUAGCUGUUUGUAACUCUCUGUUUAAAGCACAGUCAUGGUUUGAUGUUUAAUAGUGUUUACGAUCCAUCACAAUCUGUUUGUAAAAUGCUCUCCAAGUUCUUUCCUGAUUUUGAUGUUUAAUAGUGUUCAUGAUCCCAAUUUUUCAAAUAUUCUUCAAUCCUGCUACAGAUUGAAAUGAUCCUUAAAACUAGCUGUUUGUAGAAUGUUCUC
This is a long non-coding RNA of Coffea eugenioides, 920 nucleotides long. RefSeq lists it as uncharacterized. Lineage: Eukaryota; Viridiplantae; Streptophyta; Magnoliopsida; Gentianales; Rubiaceae. The record is from RefSeq and is a predicted model, not a curated record. The transcript has 3 exons.